Molecule: long non-coding RNA, 563 nt
Filed under: Suricata suricatta (meerkat)
Lineage: Eukaryota; Metazoa; Chordata; Mammalia; Carnivora; Herpestidae
Description: lncRNA (ENSSSUG00005018254.1)
Source: RNAcentral
UGGAGACCAGUCACUGACUUCAGAGUGCCUGUUUAUUAAAGAUGAAAGUAAUGUAUGCCUGGCUGAUCUGAACAGCUGUCAGAGAUUCGGCUGUUAGCAAAGGAAGUCACUAAUUUCGAGGUAUAAUCACUCAUCUAAGAGAGAGACGGCCCGCCUUCAUCUUCCGAGCGGAGCUGGGCUGUGUGGUCUCCACCAGGUGUGCAAGAGGAAAAGAGGCGGUGUUGAGCCACACAGAGAGUGGACUUGAUGUACCUUGUGUGUGCUUUGACAGGUGGGAGAAGCUGGCACCUUCCGAGGGAGGCAAUAAAUUAGAAGAGAGGUGGGGGGGUCUUCCAUUUUUCAUCCAAAUGUGCUGUGUGAUCUUCAGGAUAUUAAUCCCUUUCUUUUUUCUCUUUGCUCUUUUCAUUCAUUCAGUGAUAAACCCUGAAUAUUCUUCAAAGCCGAGUGAGCAAAUGGGUUACUCACCGCUGGGUUAUAAGGCAGGGCAGUGCCCACCACAGCGCUCCGGGAAGACUCACCAAGCAGGGGGCCUGUGGGGCAGGGAAGAGGCUGCUGGUGGCUGA